Molecule: ribosomal RNA, 301 nt
Filed under: uncultured bacterium
Lineage: Bacteria
Description: partial 16S ribosomal RNA
Rfam family: Bacterial small subunit ribosomal RNA
Source: RNAcentral
CAGUAGCCGCGGGAAUACGUAGGUGGCGAGCGUUGUCUGGAAUUAUUGGGCGUAAAGGGAGCGCAGGCGGACAUAUAAGUCCAUCUUAAAAGUGCGGGGCUCAACCCCGUGAGGGGAUGGAAACUGUAUGCCUUGAGUGCAGGAGAGGAAAGCGGAAUUCCCAGUGUAGCGGUGAAAUGCGUAGAUAUUGGGAGGAACACCAGUGGCGAAGGCGGCUUCCUGGACUGUAACUGACGCUGAGGCUCGAAAGCCAGGGGAGCGAACGGGAUUAGAUACCCCAGUAGUCCCUGUCUCUUAUACA